This 253-nucleotide ribosomal RNA is filed under the name uncultured bacterium. RNAcentral's name for it is "partial 16S ribosomal RNA". It matches the Rfam family "Bacterial small subunit ribosomal RNA", at positions 524 to 776 of the family's 1533-position model. The record is from RNAcentral.
UACGGAGGGUGCAAGCGUUAUCCGGAUUCACUGGGUUUAAAGGGUGCGUAGGUGGGCAGGUAAGUCAGUGGUGAAAUCUCUAAGCUUAACUUAGAAACUGCCGUUGAUACUAUCUGUCUUGAAUAUCGUGGAGGUGAGCGGAAUAUGUCAUGUAGCGGUGAAAUGCUUAGAUAUGACAUAGAACACCAAUUGCGAAGGCAGCUCGCUACACGGUUAUUGACACUGAGGCACGAAAGCGUGGGGAUCAAACAGG